ACCGGCGCACGGGUGCGUAACGCGUAUACAAUCUACCUUUUACAGGGGGAUAGCCCAGAGAAAUUUGGAUUAAUACCUCAUAGUAUUAUAUAGUGGCAUCACUAAAUAAUUAAAGAUUUAUCGGUAAGAGAUGAGUAUGCGUCCUAUUAGUUAGUUGGAGUGGUAACGGCACCCCAAGACAUCGAUAGGUAGGGGUCCUGAGAGGGAGAUCCCCCACACUGGUACUGAGACACGGACCAGACUCCUACGGGAGGCAGCAGUGAGGAAUAUUGGACAAUGGGAGCAAUCCUGAUCCAGCCAUGCCGCGUGCAGGAAGACUGCCCUAUGGGUUGUAAACUGCUUUUGUACGGGAAGAACCGCAACCUCGUGAGGUUGUUUGACGGUACCGUAAGAAUAAGGAUCGGCUAACUCCGUGCCAGCAGCCGCGGUAAUACGGAGGAUCCAAGCGUUAUCCGGAAUCAUUGGGUUUAAAGGGUCCGUAGGUGGAAAAUUAAGUCAGAGGUGAAAUCCUGCAGCUCAACUGUAGAAUUGCCUUUGAUACUGGUUAUCUUGAGUCAUUAUGAAGUAGUUAGAAUAUGUAGUGUAGCGGUGAAAUGCAUAGAUAUUACAUAGAAUACCAAUUGCGAAGGCAGAUUACUAAUAAUGUACUGACACUGAUGGACGAAAGCGUGGGUAGCGAAC
This 681-nucleotide ribosomal RNA is filed under the name uncultured bacterium. Its description in RNAcentral is "bacterial SSU rRNA". It matches the Rfam family "Bacterial small subunit ribosomal RNA", at positions 94 to 773 of the family's 1533-position model. The record is from RNAcentral.